This 85-nucleotide small RNA is filed under the name Flavobacterium sp. 270. RNAcentral's name for it is "Flavo-1 RNA". Lineage: Bacteria; Pseudomonadati; Bacteroidota; Flavobacteriia; Flavobacteriales; Flavobacteriaceae. The record is from RNAcentral.
GUCUAGCCCUGAUGGCAGCUACAUCUUUUUUCUUAUUCCUUUAGCAAGAAAAAGAUAUCAGUCCCGAUAGCUGUCGGGACAAGAA